RNAcentral lists this long non-coding RNA (536 nucleotides) under Lynx pardinus (Iberian lynx). Lineage: Eukaryota; Metazoa; Chordata; Mammalia; Carnivora; Felidae. The record is from RNAcentral.
AGGUAAACGGGGUUUUGACCAAGAUGAUACUUUAGGAGUGGUAUAAAUUGCUUAUUUCAGGAGUCUUGGCUCCAAAAGACUUCUAAGUCAUGAAAAAAUUAAAUCUGCCUUGAAGGAUGCAAAUGCGCUAUCAAUAAAGGCAUUAAAAUCACUUCACCAAUAAUUUUGAGUGUCUCUGUUUGUAUCAGGCACAGUGCUCAGCGCUGGAAAUGAAAGACCUAAUUCCUGCCCUGAGGAGCUUAUCUUCUGCGUCAAACUGUGGUCUCCUCCUCCAGCAAGACAGUGGGUUUCCUUCCAUAGGCUCUGGCCUGAUGCAUGCAGGUAAGCGGGUGCUCGGCCAGGCAAGAAGCCAUUCCCUAAAAGACCUGAGUAUAGCUCCCGACCCAGCCGCUGUGAACCAUGCUUGGCCCCACAAGAGAAAGGAAAACAGGAGAGACAUUGGAUUGGAUCUUCCAGAAGGUCUUUGUUGCAAUUUUCUGCAUCAUUGGAAAAAAAAUUACAUCAUCAUCAAAUAAAGACAAUAGCAGCACAGCUUA